This 449-nucleotide ribosomal RNA is filed under the name uncultured bacterium. RNAcentral's name for it is "partial 16S ribosomal RNA". It matches the Rfam family "Bacterial small subunit ribosomal RNA", at positions 29 to 523 of the family's 1533-position model. The record is from RNAcentral.
AAUGAACGCUGGCGGCAGGCCUAACACAUGCAAGUCGAACGGAUCCUUCGGGAUUAGUGGCGGACGGGUGAGUAACGCGUGGGAACAUACCCAAAGGUACGGAAUAGCCUCGGGAAACUGGGAGUAAUGCCGUAUGUGCUCGAAAGAGGAAAGAUUUAUCGCCUUUGGAUUGGCCCGCGUUGGAUUAGGUAGUUGGUGGGGUAAUGGCCUACCAAGCCGACGAUCCAUAGCUGGUUUGAGAGGAUGAUCAGCCACACUGGGACUGAGACACGGCCCAGACUCCUACGGGAGGCAGCAGUGGGGAAUCUUAGACAAUGGGGGAAACCCUGAUCUAGCCAUGCCGCGUGAUCGAUGAAGGCCUUAGGGUUGUAAAGAUCUUUCAGGUGGGAAGAUAAUGACUGUACCGCCAGAAGAAGCCCCGGCUAACUCCGUGCCAGCAGCCGCAGUAA